RNAcentral lists this ribosomal RNA (1414 nucleotides) under Enterococcus durans. RNAcentral's name for it is "bacterial SSU rRNA". It matches the Rfam family "Bacterial small subunit ribosomal RNA". The record is from RNAcentral. Lineage: Bacteria; Bacillati; Bacillota; Bacilli; Lactobacillales; Enterococcaceae.
GUCGUACGCUUCUUUUUCCCCGGAGCUUGCUCCACCGGAAAAAGAAGAGUGGCGAACGGGUGAGUAACACGUGGGUAACCUGCCCAUCAGAAGGGGAUAACACUUGGAAACAGGUGCUAAUACCGUAUAACAAUCGAAACCGCAUGGUUUUGAUUUGAAAGGCGCUUUCGGGUGUCGCUGAUGGAUGGACCCGCGGUGCAUUAGCUAGUUGGUGAGGUAACGGCUCACCAAGGCCACGAUGCAUAGCCGACCUGAGAGGGUGAUCGGCCACAUUGGGACUGAGACACGGCCCAAACUCCUACGGGAGGCAGCAGUAGGGAAUCUUCGGCAAUGGACGAAAGUCUGACCGAGCAACGCCGCGUGAGUGAAGAAGGUUUUCGGAUCGUAAAACUCUGUUGUUAGAGAAGAACAAGGAUGAGAGUAACUGUUCAUCCCUUGACGGUAUCUAACCAGAAAGCCACGGCUAACUACGUGCCAGCAGCCGCGGUAAUACGUAGGUGGCAAGCGUUGUCCGGAUUUAUUGGGCGUAAAGCGAGCGCAGGCGGUUUCUUAAGUCUGAUGUGAAAGCCCCCGGCUCAACCGGGGAGGGUCAUUGGAAACUGGGAGACUUGAGUGCAGAAGAGGAGAGUGGAAUUCCAUGUGUAGCGGUGAAAUGCGUAGAUAUAUGGAGGAACACCAGUGGCGAAGGCGGCUCUCUGGUCUGUAACUGACGCUGAGGCUCGAAAGCGUGGGGAGCAAACAGGAUUAGAUACCCUGGUAGUCCACGCCGUAAACGAUGAGUGCUAAGUGUUGGAGGGUUUCCGCCCUUCAGUGCUGCAGCUAACGCAUUAAGCACUCCGCCUGGGGAGUACGACCGCAAGGUUGAAACUCAAAGGAAUUGACGGGGGCCCGCACAAGCGGUGGAGCAUGUGGUUUAAUUCGAAGCAACGCGAAGAACCUUACCAGGUCUUGACAUCCUUUGACCACUCUAGAGAUAGAGCUUCCCCUUCGGGGGCAAAGUGACAGGUGGUGCAUGGUUGUCGUCAGCUCGUGUCGUGAGAUGUUGGGUUAAGUCCCGCAACGAGCGCAACCCUUAUUGUUAGUUGCCAUCAUUUAGUUGGGCACUCUAGCAAGACUGCCGGUGACAAACCGGAGGAAGGUGGGGAUGACGUCAAAUCAUCAUGCCCCUUAUGACCUGGGCUACACACGUGCUACAAUGGGAAGUACAACGAGUCGCGAAGUCGCGAGGCUAAGCUAAUCUCUUAAAGCUUCUCUCAGUUCGGAUUGUAGGCUGCAACUCGCCUACAUGAAGCCGGAAUCGCUAGUAAUCGCGGAUCAGCACGCCGCGGUGAAUACGUUCCCGGGCCUUGUACACACCGCCCGUCACACCACGAGAGUUUUAACACCCGAAGUCGGUGAGGUAACCUUUGGAGCC